Molecule: non-coding RNA, 74 nt
Organism: Podarcis lilfordi (Lilford's wall lizard)
Lineage: Eukaryota; Metazoa; Chordata; Lepidosauria; Squamata; Lacertidae
Source: the annotation of a GenBank genome assembly
GCCUGGAUAGCUCAGUUGAUUACAGUGUGGUGCUGAUAACACCAAGACUGCAGGUUCAAUCCCUGUAUGGGACA